ACUCAAAGGAAUAGACGGGGGCCCGCACAAGCAGCGGAGCAUGUGGUUUAAUUCGAAGCAACGCGAAGAACCUUACCUAGACUUGACAUCUCCUGAAUUACCCGUAACUGGGGAAGCUCUUCGGAGCAGGAAGACAGGUGGUGCAUGGUUGUCGUCAGCUCGUGUCGUGAGAUGUUGGGUUAAGUCCCGCAACGAGCGCAACCCUUAUUGUUAGUUGCUACCAUUAAGUUGAGCACUCUAGCGAGACUGCCGGGGUUAACUCGGAGGAAGGUGGGGAUGACGUCAAAUCAUCAUGCCCCUUAUGUCUAGGGCUACACACGUGCUACAAUGGCGAGUACAACAAGAGGCUAAGCCGCGAGGUGGAGCAAAACUGUAAAACUCGUCCCAGUUCGGAUUGUAGGCUGAAACUCGCCUACAUGAAGCCGGAGUUGCUAGUAAUCGCGAAUCAGCAUGUCGCGGUGAAUACGUUCCCGGGCCUUGUACACACCGCCCGU
This 494-nucleotide ribosomal RNA is filed under the name uncultured bacterium. RNAcentral's name for it is "partial 16S ribosomal RNA". It matches the Rfam family "Bacterial small subunit ribosomal RNA", at positions 899 to 1397 of the family's 1533-position model. The record is from RNAcentral.